RNAcentral lists this ribosomal RNA (477 nucleotides) under uncultured bacterium. Its description in RNAcentral is "partial 16S ribosomal RNA". It matches the Rfam family "Bacterial small subunit ribosomal RNA", at positions 28 to 507 of the family's 1533-position model. The record is from RNAcentral.
GAUGAACGCUAGCGGCGGGCCUAAUACAUGCAAGUCGAACGGGAAAGGUGGCAACACCUUGAGAGUGGCGUACGGGUGCGUAACGCGUAUACAACCUGCCUGUUACACGGGGAUAGCCUUGCGAAAGCGAGAUUAAUACCCGAUGGUACUAUUGAGCGGCAUCGCUUGGUAGUUAAAGCUGAGGCGGUAACAGAGGGGUAUGCGUCCCAUUAGCUAGUUGGUAGUGUAACGGACUACCAAGGCGACGAUGGGUAGGGGUUCUGAGAGGAUGAUCCCCCACACUGGUACUGAGAUACGGACCAGACUCCUACGGGAGGCAGCAGUAGGGAAUAUUGGGCAAUGGACGGAAGUCUGACCCAGCCACGCCGCGUGCAGGAAGAAGGUCCUCUGGAUUGGAAACUGCUUUUCUUGGGGAAGAAAACCCUUCGGCGGAAGGAAUUGACGGUACUCAAGGAAUAAGCAUCGGCUAACUCCGUG